This is a long non-coding RNA of Uranotaenia lowii, 538 nucleotides long. RefSeq lists it as uncharacterized. The transcript has 2 exons. The record is from RefSeq and is a predicted model, not a curated record. NCBI's taxonomy places the organism in Eukaryota, Metazoa, Arthropoda, Insecta, Diptera, Culicidae.
UUAGUAUGCGGGUAUAUAAAAUAAACAUUUGAACAAUAUUUCAACUUGGCACCCCUGGCCAACACAUUCAAACUGCAACGAAAAAAAAAAAACAAAUGGUAGGGGGAUGUGAAACGGCAUUAAGUUUUCAGCCAGCGACACAGAAAGGCUAUUUUAAUUCGACCUUCAUCAGAAACCCCGGUAAGUUCGGUGCGAAAGCGAUGAUACCUGUGGCCGUCGCGAGAAGUGAAGAACCGACCGAAUUUUGCCACCACAAGAUAUUUUGAAGAUUACCCUGCUGCUCGAUCCAGAACGGUCCUCAUUACGAAAUGAUGGAGAAAAAUUUAAACCCGAAGAUGCUCCUGCGGUUCAAAAAUUUUUGGUUCAUGGAUCGAGAAGUGGACUGGCCUUGGUUGCCUGAAAAGCGAAUAUAUUCUGCGGAACUGGCCAACAGGAAACAUGUGGACCAAAAUGAGACACGGGAAUUUUUAAUGAAGAUGUACUGUAUUUUAGAUUAAAUCGAGAUAAAUUUUCUAGAAUAAUAAAAUUUUUAAAAUAA